CGCGUAGGCGGUUCGGUAAGUCCUGUGUGAAAUCCCUCGGCUCAACUGAGGAACUGCACGGGAGACUGCCGGGCUUGAGUUCGGGAGAGGGAAGCGGAAUUCCGGGUGUAGCGGUGAAAUGCGUAGAUAUCCGGAGGAACACCGGUGGCGAAGGCGGCUUCCUGGACCGACACUGACGCUGAGGCGCGAAAGCUAGGGGAGCAAACG
This 207-nucleotide ribosomal RNA is filed under the name uncultured bacterium. RNAcentral describes it as "partial 16S ribosomal RNA". It matches the Rfam family "Bacterial small subunit ribosomal RNA", at positions 568 to 774 of the family's 1533-position model. The record is from RNAcentral.